Molecule: transfer RNA, 73 nt
Filed under: Symbiochloris sp. SG-2018
Lineage: Eukaryota; Viridiplantae; Chlorophyta; Trebouxiophyceae; Trebouxiales; Trebouxiaceae
Description: tRNA-Met
Rfam family: tRNA
About the family: Transfer RNA (tRNA) molecules are approximately 80 nucleotides in length.
Source: RNAcentral
GGUAGGAUUGAGCAGUGGUCAGCUCUUCGGGCUCAUGAUCCGAAAGUCAGAGGUUCGAAUCCUCUUCCUGCCC